GUGGGGAAUAUUGGACAAUGGGGGGAACCCUGAUCCAGCCAUGCCGCGUGUGUGAAGAAGGCCUUUUGGUUGUAAAGCACUUUAAGCGAGGAGGAGGCUACCGAGAUUAAUACUCUUGGAUAGUGGACGUUACUCGCAGAAUAAGCACCGGCUAACUCUGUGCCAGCAGCCGCGGUAAUACAGAGGGUGCAAGCGUUAAUCGGAUUUACUGGGCUUAAAGCGCGCGUAGGUGGCCAAUUAAGUCAAAUGUGAAAUCCCCGAGCUUAACUUGGGAAUUGCAUUCGAUACUGGAUGGCUAGAGUAUGGGAGAGGAUGGUAGAAUUCCAGGUGUAGCGGUGAAAUGCGUAGAGAUCUGGAGGAAUACCGAUGGCGAAGGCAGCCAUCUGGCCUAAUACUGACACUGAGGUGCGAAAGCAUGGGGAGCAAACAGGAUUAGAUACCCUGGUAGUCC
This 451-nucleotide ribosomal RNA is filed under the name uncultured bacterium. Its description in RNAcentral is "bacterial SSU rRNA". It matches the Rfam family "Bacterial small subunit ribosomal RNA", at positions 354 to 796 of the family's 1533-position model. The record is from RNAcentral.